RNAcentral lists this ribosomal RNA (341 nucleotides) under uncultured Glomeromycotina. Its description in RNAcentral is "eukaryotic LSU rRNA". Lineage: Eukaryota; Fungi; Glomeromycota. The record is from RNAcentral.
AUCAGCUUUUCGGGUGCGAUUCUGUGGAGUUUGAGGAGCUUAACACCUUCAUGCUUUGCAUAUUCGUGCUCUUGGGUGUACUUGCUCGUAUGGUUGGUUAACAUCAAUUUUGGUGGUCAAAAAAUGACUGGAGGAAUGUAGCUUCGAUCUCGUAUUGAAGUGUUAUAGCCUUCGGUAGAUGUGAUGACUGAGAUUGAGGAUUGCAACGGAUACCCUUCGGGGCUACCUGUCUGAUCUCUGAUCGUUGCUCUGGUGCCGAAAGCUUGCUUACGGUUAUCAAAGUCGAUGGUCAAUAGGUUAGAACGGGUUAAAUUCGUUAAGGAUGUUGACGUAAUGGCUUU